This 424-nucleotide ribosomal RNA is filed under the name Fusobacteriota bacterium. RNAcentral's name for it is "Fusobacteria bacterium partial 16S ribosomal RNA". It matches the Rfam family "Bacterial small subunit ribosomal RNA", at positions 355 to 776 of the family's 1533-position model. Lineage: Bacteria; Fusobacteriati; Fusobacteriota. The record is from RNAcentral.
UGAGGAAUAUUGGUCAAUGGGCGAGAGCCUGAACCAGCCAAGUAGCGUGCAGGAUGACGGCCCUAUGGGUUGUAAACUGCUUUUCUGUGGGGAUAAAGUGCGUGGCGUGUCAUGCAUUGCAGGUACCACAUGAAUAAGGACCGGCUAAUUCCGUGCCAGCAGCCGCGGUAAUACGGAAGGUCCGGGCGUUAUCCGGAUUUAUUGGGUUUAAAGGGAGCGUAGGCUGUCUAUUAAGCGUGUUGUGAAAUUUACCGGCUCAACCGGUGGCUUGCAGCGCGAACUGGUCGACUUGAGUAUGCAGGAAGUAGGCGGAAUUCAUGGUGUAGCGGUGAAAUGCUUAGAUAUCAUGACGAACUCCGAUUGCGCAGGCAGCUUACUGUAGCAUAACUGACGCUGAUGCUCGAAAGUGCGGGUAUCAAACAGG